UAGUAGUAGUAUUAAGUUUAAAUUUAUUUUAUUUAAAUUAUAUUUUGUUGGGGAGAUGUUUAUAUAAUUUGUAACUGUUUAAAAAAUUAAAUAAUUAUAAUUAGUUUUUGAUCCUUUAUUAAAGAUUUAAAGAUUAAGUUACUUUAGGGAUAACAGCGUUAUUUUCUCUGAGAGUUCUUAUCGACGAGAGUAGUUGCGACCUCGAUGUUGAAUUAAAAUUUCAGAUUGGUGUAGCCGCUUUUCUGGUAGGUCUGUUCGACCUUUAAAA
RNAcentral lists this ribosomal RNA (268 nucleotides) under Platypontonia hyotis. RNAcentral describes it as "partial large subunit ribosomal RNA". The stretch from base 149 to 268 matches the Rfam family "Bacterial large subunit ribosomal RNA", at positions 2473 to 2593 of the family's 2925-position model. Lineage: Eukaryota; Metazoa; Arthropoda; Malacostraca; Decapoda; Palaemonidae. The record is from RNAcentral.